GACGAACGCUGGCGGCGUGCUUAACACAUGCAAGUCGAACGGUAAGGCCCUUCGGGGUACACGAGUGGCGAACGGGUGAGUAACACGUGGGUGAUCUGCCCUGCACUUCGGGAUAAGCCUGGGAAACUGGGUCUAGUACCGGACAGGACCCUGGGAUGCAUGUCCUGGGGUGGAAAGCUUUUGCGGUGUGGGAUGGGCCCGCGGCCUAUCAGCUUGUUGGUGGGGUGAUGGCCUACCAAGGCGACGACGGGUAGCCGGCCUGAGAGGGUGACCGGCCACACUGGGACUGAGAUACGGCCCAGACUCCUACGGGAGGCAGCAGUGGGGGAUAUUGCACAAUGGGCGCAGGCCUGAUUCAGCGACGCCGCGUGAGGGAUGACGGCCUUCGGGUUGUAAACCUCUUUCAGCACCGACGAAGCGCAAGUGACGGUAGGUGCAGAAGAAGGACCGGCCAACUACGUGCCAGCAGCCGCCGUAA
Molecule: ribosomal RNA, 478 nt
Filed under: uncultured bacterium
Lineage: Bacteria
Description: partial 16S ribosomal RNA
Rfam family: Bacterial small subunit ribosomal RNA
Source: RNAcentral